RNAcentral lists this ribosomal RNA (252 nucleotides) under uncultured bacterium. RNAcentral describes it as "partial 16S ribosomal RNA". It matches the Rfam family "Bacterial small subunit ribosomal RNA", at positions 524 to 775 of the family's 1533-position model. The record is from RNAcentral.
UACGAAGGGGGCUAGCGUUGUUCGGAAUCACUGGGCGUAAAGCGCACGUAGGCGGAUUUUUAAGUCAGGGGUGAAAUCCCGAGGCUCAACCUCGGAACUGCCUUUGAUACUGGAGAUCUCGAGUCCGGGAGAGGUGAGUGGAACUGCGAGUGUAGAGGUGAAAUUCGUAGAUAUUCGCAAGAACACCAGUGGCGAAGGCGGCUCACUGGCCCGGAACUGACGCUGAGGUGCGAAAGCGUGGGGAGCAAACAG